GCCCUAAGAGGAACUAGAAGGACACAGCACUGGUGUUUCAGUGGAUGCCCAGCGUGACGCACGAAACAAAUACAAAUAAUAUUGACAAAAAAACAGUUAUUGCGCGAGCGACGCCGCAGCGUGAUCACGUGUACUCCUGAAAACGGGAUUUCGCACCGCCAGGGCAGAGAGGCCCGCCCAGCUGCGCUCGUCGCACGCGCACAGGUGCCAAAUAGAUAUAACAAAAUAGAAACAGAAUAAUUAAAAAAAACAAAACAAGACUUGACAAUAACCUGUGAUGCAUUAUUAAUGACUACCUAUGGAGACAGUAUUUAUUAUACAAAUACAUAAAUAAAACCAAUAGUUUGUAUAUAUUAUUGCACAUGCCAUCGCCGUGUUCAAGCAGAUCCAGGAACAAUGGAAAUCCUACCUUACGCACUGGGGAUAAGGUCGUGACCUCGGAUAGGCGGUGGGAGAUUGUUGUAUAUGUCGCUCGAGAGAUAUUUAAAACUAUGGCGAAACAUGGCAGAUUUAUGUUUGGGAGUCAGCAUGAGAUAAGUUGCAGCUCUGGUAUUAAUAGUGUGGUGAUUACGGGCCCAGGCCAGCUUAUCAUACAGAUAAUCUGGCGACUGGUGCUUCACCACACCGAAGAGGAGAGUGGCCAGAUGCAGUUUCCACCUCGCAGCAAUCUUCAACAGGUUUGAACGGUUAAGGAACGGUGUAACAUGAGCGCGCGGAGGUAUAUUAAAGCAGAACCUCGCGCAGGCGUUCUGUACUCUUUGUAACAAUCUUUCCGUUGUGCGUAAUAAACAAGGGCCGUAUACGGUGUCAGCAUAAUUUAGUUUGGAAAGUACAAGCGAUUCGCACAAUUGGAUACGGAGGUCAACAUUUAAGUAAGGUCGCAUUUUGUACAAGAUUUUUAGUCUAUAAAAACAGUUUCUGAU
Molecule: long non-coding RNA, 923 nt
Organism: Plutella xylostella (diamondback moth)
Lineage: Eukaryota; Metazoa; Arthropoda; Insecta; Lepidoptera; Plutellidae
Source: RefSeq, a predicted model, not a curated record